GACCCCUAUAAAAACGGCGACCGAUCAUCCGAUCGUCCUCUUGGUUUCUACCACCAGAUUCGUCAUCUUGUUCCGGUACAGUCUCGCGAAUCAGUUAUUCCGUUAAAUCCUCUCACCAAUCUACGCUGCAAGUCAUCAUAUCCAGAGUAUUCUCAAGAGGUACCGUUCCGACGUCACAU
Long non-coding RNA from Neodiprion virginianus, 179 nucleotides. RefSeq lists it as uncharacterized. NCBI's taxonomy places the organism in Eukaryota, Metazoa, Arthropoda, Insecta, Hymenoptera, Diprionidae. The transcript has 3 exons. The record is from RefSeq and is a predicted model, not a curated record.